CCCGCCUAACUCCAUUUUGGGGGCAGUUAGGGAAAGGAAAUGCCCAAACGCGAGGGUGGGUUGAUAAUCCUGAAGGAACGCACACCGAGUUUUCACGCCUCAAGAAACAGCUUCAAGGUCCCACAUCUUCAAAAGCAAGUCUUUUAA
This 147-nucleotide long non-coding RNA is filed under the name Calidris pugnax (ruff). RNAcentral describes it as "lncRNA (ENSCPUG00000016003.1)". The record is from RNAcentral. Lineage: Eukaryota; Metazoa; Chordata; Aves; Charadriiformes; Scolopacidae.